UACGUAGGGUGCAAGCGUUGUCCGGAAUUAUUGGGCGUAAAGAGCUCGUAGGCGGUUUGUCGCGUCUGCUGUGAAAACGCGGGGCUCAACCUCGCGCCUGCAGUGGGUACGGGCAGACUAGAGUGCGGUAGGGGAGAUUGGAAUUCCUGGUGUAGCGGUGGAAUGCGCAGAUAUCAGGAGGAACACCGAUGGCGAAGGCAGAUCUCUGGGCCGUAACUGACGCUGAGGAGCGAAAGCGUGGGGAGCGAACAGG
RNAcentral lists this ribosomal RNA (253 nucleotides) under uncultured bacterium. RNAcentral's name for it is "partial 16S ribosomal RNA". It matches the Rfam family "Bacterial small subunit ribosomal RNA", at positions 524 to 776 of the family's 1533-position model. The record is from RNAcentral.